RNAcentral lists this ribosomal RNA (468 nucleotides) under uncultured bacterium. RNAcentral's name for it is "partial 16S ribosomal RNA". It matches the Rfam family "Bacterial small subunit ribosomal RNA", at positions 28 to 507 of the family's 1533-position model. The record is from RNAcentral.
GACGAACGCUGGCGGCGUGCUUAACACAUGCAAGUCGAACGGCAAGGCCCUGCUUUUGUGGGGUGCUCGAGUGGCGAACGGGUGAGUAACACGUGAGUAACCUGCCCUUGACUUUGGGAUAACUUCAGGAAACUGGGGCUAAUACCGGAUAGGAGCUCCUGCUGCAUGGUGGGGGUUGGAAAGUUUCGGCGGGUGGGGAUGGACUCGCGGCUUAUCAGCUUGUUGGUGGGGUAGUGGCUUACCAAGGCUUUGACGGGUAGCCGGCCUGAGAGGGUGACCGGCGACAAUAGGACUACGAGACGGACCAGUCUGCUACGGGGGACAGCAGUGGGAAGUAUUACACAGUGAGCGGGAGCGUGGUACGGCGGCGCCGCGUGCGGAAUGACGGCCUUCGGGGUGUGAACCGCUUUCGCCUGAGACGAAGCGUGAGUGACGGUAAUGGAUAAAGAAGCACCGGCUAACUACGUG